AACGCGAAGAACCUUACCAACUCUUGACAUCCCAGUGACCGUUCUAGAGAUAGAACUUUCCCUUCGGGGACAAUGGUGACAGGUGGUGCAUGGUUGUCGUCAGCUCGUGUCGUGAGAUGUUGGGUUAAGUCCCGCAACGAGCGCAACCCUUGUCCUUAGUUGCCAGCACGUAAAGGUGGGGACUUUAAGGAGACUGCCGGUGAUAAACCGGAGGAAGGUGGGGAUGACGUCAAAUCAUCAUGCCCCUUAUGAGUUGGGCUACACACGUACUACAAUGGCUGGUACAAAGAGAAGCGAACCUGCGAGGGUAAGCGGACCUCAUAAAGCCAGUCUAAGUUCGGAUCGCAGUCUGCAACUCGACUGCGUGAAGUCGGAUUCGCUAGUAAUCGCAGAUCAGAAUGCUGCGGUGAAUGCGUUCCCGGGUCUUGUACACACCG
RNAcentral lists this ribosomal RNA (437 nucleotides) under uncultured bacterium. RNAcentral describes it as "bacterial SSU rRNA". It matches the Rfam family "Bacterial small subunit ribosomal RNA", at positions 958 to 1392 of the family's 1533-position model. The record is from RNAcentral.